GAUGAACGCUGGCGGCGUGCCUAAUACAUGCAAGUCGAGCGAACAGACGAGGAGCUUGCUCCUCUGACGUUAGCGGCGGACGGGUGAGUAACACGUGGAUAACCUACCUAUAAGACUGGGAUAACUUCGGGAAACCGGAGCUAAUACCGGAUAAUAUAUUGAACCGCAUGGUUCAAUAGUGAAAGACGGUUUUGCUGUCACUUAUAGAUGGAACCGCGCCGCAUUAGCUAGUUGGUAAGGUAACGGCUUACCAAGGCGACGAUGCGUAGCCGACCUGAGAGGGUGAUCGGCCACACUGGAACUGAGACACGGUCCAGACUCCUACGGGAGGCAGCAGUAGGGAAUCUUCCGCAAAGGGCGAAAGCUUGACGGAGCAACGCCGCGUGAGUGAUGAAGGUCUUCGGAUCGUAAAACUCUGUUAUUAGGGAAGAACAAAUGUGUAAGUAACUAUGCACGUCUUGACGGUACCUAAUCAGAAAGCCACGGCUAACUACGUG
Molecule: ribosomal RNA, 497 nt
Filed under: uncultured bacterium
Lineage: Bacteria
Description: partial 16S ribosomal RNA
Rfam family: Bacterial small subunit ribosomal RNA
Source: RNAcentral